Long non-coding RNA from Oncorhynchus tshawytscha (Chinook salmon), 1504 nucleotides. RefSeq lists it as uncharacterized. The transcript is spliced from 4 exons. Lineage: Eukaryota; Metazoa; Chordata; Actinopteri; Salmoniformes; Salmonidae. The record is from RefSeq and is a predicted model, not a curated record.
CUUGUAUCUCUGUCCCUCCGCAGGUGUUUCUUCUUGGCGUCCUGAGGUGGGCGGGGCAUGUGCGUAGCUUCUUACCCUCCUUGUAUCUCUGUCCCUCCGCAGGUGUUUCUUCUUGGCGUCCUGAGGUGGGCGGGGCAUGUGCGUAGCUUCUUACCCUCCUUGUAUCUCUGUCCCUCCGCAGGUGUUUCUUCUUGGCGUCCUGAGGUGGCGGGGCAUGUGCGUAGCUUCUUACCCUCCUUGUAUCUCUGUCCCUCCGCAGGUGUUUCUUCUUGGCGUCCUGAGGUGGGCGGGGCAUGUGUGUAGCUUCUUACCCUCCUUGUAUCUCUGUCCCUCCGCAGGUGUUUCUUCUUGGCGUCCUGAGGUGGGCGGGGCAUGUGUGUAGCUUCUUACCCUCCUUGUAUCUCUGUCCCUCCGCAGGUGUUUCUUCUUGGCGUCCUGAGGUGGGAGGGGCAUGUGUGUAGCUUCUUACCCUCCUUGUAUCUCUGUCCCUCCGCAGGUGUUUCUUCUUGGCGUCCUGAGGUGGGAGGGGCAUGUGCGUAGCUUCUUACCCUCCUUGUAUCUCUGUCCCUCCGCAGGUGUUUCUUCUUGGCGUCCUGAGGUGGGAGGGGCAUGUGCGUAGCUUCUUACCCUCCUUGUAUCUCUGUCCCUCCGCAGGUGUUUCUUCUUGGCGUCCUGAGGUGGGAGGGGCAUGUGCGUAGCUUCUUACCCUCCUUGUAUCUCUGUCCCUCCGCAGGUGUUUCUUCUUGGCGUCCUGAGGUGGGCGGGGCAUGUGCGUAGCUUCUUACCCUCCUUGUAUCUCUGUCCCUCCGCAGGUGUUUCUUCUUGGCGUCCUGAGGUGGGCGGGGCAUGUGCGUAGCUUCUUACCCUUUGUAUCUCUGUCCCUCCGCAGGUGUUUCUUCUUGGCGUCCUGAGGUGGGCGGGGCAUGUGCGUAGCUUCUUACCCUCCUUGUAUCUCUGUCCCUCCGCAGGUGUUUCUUCUUGGCGUCCUGAGGUGGGAGGGGCAUGUGCGUAGCUUCUUACCCUCCUUGUAUCUCUGUCCCUCCGCAGGUGUUUCUUCUUGGCGUCCUGAGGUGGGAGGGGCAUGUGCGUAGCUUCUUACCCUUCUUGUAUCUCUGUCCCUCCGCAGGUGUUUCUUCUUGGCGUCCUGAGGUGGGCGGGGCAUGUGCGUAGCUUCUUACCCUCCUUGUAUCUCUGUCCCUCCGCAGGUGUUUCUUCUUGGCGUCCUGAGGUGGGCGGGGCAUGUGCGUAGCUUCUUACCCUCCUUGUAUCUCUGUCCCUCCGCAGGUGUUUCUUCUUGGCGUCCUGAGGUGGGAGGGGCAUGUGUGUAGCUUCUUACCCUCCUUGUAUCUCUGUCCCUCCGCAGGUGUUUCUUCUUGGCGUCCUGAGGUGGGAGGGGCAUGUGUGUAGCUUCUUACCCUCCUUGUAUCUCUGUCCCUCCGCAGGUGUUUCUUCUUGGUGUCCUGAGGUGGGAGGGGCAUGUGUGUAGCUUCUUACCCUCCUUGUA